RNAcentral lists this unclassified non-coding RNA (265 nucleotides) under air metagenome. RNAcentral describes it as "partial contains small subunit ribosomal RNA, internal transcribed spacer 1, and 5.8S ribosomal RNA". The stretch from base 1 to 46 matches the Rfam family "Eukaryotic small subunit ribosomal RNA", at positions 1786 to 1831 of the family's 1831-position model. The record is from RNAcentral.
AAGUCGUAACAAGGUUUCCGUAGGUGAACCUGCGGAAGGAUCAUUAAACACAGUAGUUUUCUACUGAUUUGGGGGAGUGGAAAGUCCCAGUCUAACCACUGGAUCACGAGUAAACUCCCUUCUUCCACCCUUGUCUUUUGAGUACUUAUGUUUCCUUGGUGGGCUUGCCUGCCAAUAGGACAAUUAUACAACCUUUUUAAUUUUCAUUCAGCGUCUAAAUUAAUUAUAAUAAUUACAACUUUCAACAACGGAUCUCUUGGUUCUG